CCUACGGGAGGCAGCAGUGGGGAAUUUUGGACAAUGGGCGAAAGCCUGAUCCAGCAAUGCCGCGUGCAGGACGAAGGCCUUCGGGUUGUAAACUGCUUUUGUACGGAGCGAAAAGGUUUCCUCUAACACAGGGGGCCCAUGACGGUACCGUAAGAAUAAGCACCGGCUAACUACGUGCCAGCAGCCGCGGUAAUACGUAGGGUGCAAGCGUUAAUCGGAAUUACUGGGCGUAAAGCGUGCGCAGGCGGUCUUAUAAGACAGAUGUGAAAUCCCCGGGCUCAACCUGGGAACUGCAUUUGUGACUGUAAGGCUUGAGUGCGGCAGAGGGGGAUGGAAUUCCGCGUGUAGCAGUGAAAUGCGUAGAUAUGCGGAGGAACACCGAUGGCGAAGGCAAUCCCCUGGGCCUGCACUGACGCUCAUGCACGAAAGCGUGGGGAGCAAACAGGAUUAGAUACCCUGGUAGUCCACGCCCUAAACGAUGUCAACUGGUUGUUGGGUCUUUGCUGACUCAGUAACGAAGCUAACGCGUGAAGUUGACCGCCUGGGGAGUAACGGCCGCAAAGGUUGAAAAGUUACGAAAGAAGUUAGAGGCGNGAGAGNGCGACGGACGACACGAGGGAGGAGG
RNAcentral lists this ribosomal RNA (625 nucleotides) under uncultured bacterium. Its description in RNAcentral is "bacterial SSU rRNA". The stretch from base 1 to 542 matches the Rfam family "Bacterial small subunit ribosomal RNA", at positions 338 to 873 of the family's 1533-position model. The record is from RNAcentral.